ACGAAGGGUGCAAGCGUUACUCGGAAUUACUGGGCGUAAAGGGCUCGUAGGCGGCCAACUAAGUCAGACGUGAAAUCCCUCAGCUUAACUGGGGAACUGCGUCUGAUACUGGAUGGCUUGGAUUCGGGAGAGGAAUGCGGAAUUCCAGGUGUAGCGGUGAAAUGCGUAGAUAUCUGGAGGAACACCGGUGGCGAAGGCGGCAUUCUGGACCGAUAUUGACGCUGAGGAGCGAAAGCCAGGGGAGCAAACGGGA
Molecule: ribosomal RNA, 253 nt
Filed under: uncultured prokaryote
Description: partial 16S ribosomal RNA
Rfam family: Bacterial small subunit ribosomal RNA
Source: RNAcentral